RNAcentral lists this ribosomal RNA (335 nucleotides) under uncultured bacterium. RNAcentral's name for it is "bacterial SSU rRNA". It matches the Rfam family "Bacterial small subunit ribosomal RNA", at positions 8 to 334 of the family's 1533-position model. The record is from RNAcentral.
AGGGUUUGAUUCUGGCUCAGGAUAAACGCUGGCGGCGCACAUAAGACAUGCAAGUCGAACGAACUUAAUCGUUAGUUUACUAAUGAAGCGGUUAGUGGCGGACUGGUGAGUAACACGUAAGCAACCUGCCUAUUAGAGGGGAACAACAGUUAGAAAUGACUGCUAAUACCGCAUAUGCCAUAAGUAUCGCAUGAUACAAGUGGGAAAGGAGCAAUCCGCUAAUAGAUGGGCUUGCGUCUGAUUAGAUAGUUGGUGGGGUAACGGCCUACCAAGUCGACGAUCAGUAGCCGAGUUGAGAGACUCUACGGCCACAUUGGGACUGAGAUACGGCCCAG